This 340-nucleotide long non-coding RNA is filed under the name Bos taurus (domestic cattle). Its description in RNAcentral is "long non-coding RNA NONBTAT007680". The record is from RNAcentral. Lineage: Eukaryota; Metazoa; Chordata; Mammalia; Artiodactyla; Bovidae.
CUCGUCUGUGGAAAGAAACCAACAUACAAAAGGAAGAAGCAGAUGGUGGAUGGAGACAAAUCUUCGAAUAUAUCUCUUAGAUUGCAGAAGGUGGGCUGAAGUCUUAUAGCUGUAAGCCAUAUUUCACUUACUGCCUAAUCGAGAACUUUCUCUUAUUUAUAAUCAAAAAAUGCCGCAUUAGUUCACUAUGUCUACUACAUAUCAGGUACUGUGUUAGGUGGGGGCUGGUGGAAGGAUAAAGAUGAAUAAGACACUUUCAUAAUAUAAAUAACAAAGCUGAAAUAUAGAUGAAAGACUCUCUAUAGAGAGACUGUGCUUUAGAAUUAUUGAGAGUAUGAGU